AAGACACGAACGGAAGAGACCGUGACUCACACGGAGCCGAAGGGGCGGCAAUAACUCUCAGGCAAAAGGACCGUUCGCCGACG
Molecule: non-coding RNA, 83 nt
Filed under: Coriobacteriaceae bacterium BV3Ac1
Lineage: Bacteria; Bacillati; Actinomycetota; Coriobacteriia; Coriobacteriales; Coriobacteriaceae
Also listed under: 1 other name
Description: Glycine riboswitch aptamer
Rfam family: Glycine riboswitch aptamer
About the family: This family represents the bacterial glycine riboswitch. Glycine riboswitches usually consist of two metabolite-binding aptamers domains with similar structures in tandem.
Source: Rfam by way of RNAcentral